This 1237-nucleotide long non-coding RNA is filed under the name Marmota monax (woodchuck). The stretch from base 1109 to 1177 matches the Rfam family "tRNA". Lineage: Eukaryota; Metazoa; Chordata; Mammalia; Rodentia; Sciuridae. The record is from RNAcentral.
AGAUACAGUGCAUGACAGUGAGAGCAAGAAGAAGAAGAAAUGAGGCAACGAAGGCUGAGAAGCAAUGGAGCCGGAUGUUAGAUCACCAUGCAGGCUACAUCUUUAUGACAGCUUCAAAGAUAGACAGCCAGCUUCUUAGCAGGUGUACUCUUUAGACCACAUGGAAUGUCUGUACAGGCUCUACGGAGAAUCUGCCCAUUGAAACAGUGAAUCAGAGGAGAGGAAAUUUAUUUGCUGGCUUUUUCCCACCCUGGUCUUCCAUUUCCCUGAACUUCUCCAUGAGAGUUAACUUGCCUGCUGUUCUGGGCUGCACUGCCUUAGACUCAUUGGCAGCCAUGUGGAAGACACGGUGCUUCAUUCCAGUGAAUCCAGAGGCAUACGGAGGAGCCAGAGAACACAGAUAGUUGGCUUUGGGUAGUAGAUAUGCUGUAACAACAGCUGCAGUGGAACAGGCAGCCUAGAGUUGAAGAGACAGGUGACUAAAGAAUUUGAGUAUCAUAUAAGCCGUCUGAUAACAGCAAUCAUAGAGUUUAUCAUCAAAUCAGCACUGAAACUCUCUGACCUAGAAGUUGCAAAGGUAAAUCCAUCUUGGGGCCUGUGCAGGUCCUGUCAAAAGUGAAGUGGACCAUAUGGUGGGGGUGGGGGUGCAUUGCCAAUUACAAGAACUUAUUCUGCCUAGUGAAUGUCUCAAAGCAUAAUUCUGGUCUAUUAUUACCCUUUCAGACCUUUGUCUUGGUGUGGCCAGACCUUCUGAUCUUUGAUGAGAAACCGGAGAUCCAGAUGGUGUCAAUUCUCCUGAUUAAAUGCUGACAACUACAGAAUUUUUUUUUUUUUUGACGGACACAACAUCUUUGUUUGUAUGUGGUGCUGAGGAUCGAACCCGGGCCGCACGCAUGCCAGGUGAGCGCCCUACCGCUUGAGCCACAUCCCCAGCCCAACUACAGAAAUUUUUUAAAAUUUAAGAUACCAAUAGGCCAAGCCAGGUGUGGCAGCCUUUACCUAUAAUCCUAGCAACUACAGAGGCUGAGGCAGGAGGAACAUGAGUUAGAGACCAAUCUCAGUCACUUAUCAAGAAUCUAUCUCAAAAUAAAAUAGAAAGUACAGGGCUGGGGUUGUAGCUCAGUGGUAGAGCGCUUACCUCGCACGUCUGAGGCCCUAGGUUCAGUCCCCAGCACCACAUAAAAAUAAAUAAAUAAAAUAAAGAUAAAAAAAUAAACAAAUAAAAAUAAAGAUAUUG